ACCAGCGUGGUGUAGUGGUUUGAGCAUUGGACUAUGACUCAGGAGGCCAGGGUUCAAAUCCCAGCCCUGCCA
This is a non-coding RNA of Phrynosoma platyrhinos (Desert horned lizard), 72 nucleotides long. Lineage: Eukaryota; Metazoa; Chordata; Lepidosauria; Squamata; Phrynosomatidae. The record is from the annotation of a GenBank genome assembly.